AGUAUUUAACAAAACCACACAUUUGUCCUGCAGGAAAGAAUGCUACAAGAAGUUGAGUCAUUCAAACAGGCUGCAUGGAACCACAUUUUUGUGUGGACUGAACCCCUUCAUGUGGCUCUUCACUUAAGCCACUUUCUGCUUUCCCUGUCUGUGCCGGUGGAACAAUAGCAGUGAAGUGAGAGCUGCAGCACAGGUCAGUCACACUGCUGUCGCCAACCCCGUCACACGUUGUCCUGAGAGAUGCGACUGAUGUCACCCACACUGCUGAGUCCUCAGUCUUUACAGUGUGAAAUAACUGCAGGGAACCAGGAGCACCAGACUUAUGUGUUCAUAAACAUUACAGAAAGUUCAAGGCUGAGGAUCCUGAGACAAAAGAGGCCCAUUAAGGCUGCCUGUCUGAUCAAGGAGACAAAGAGCUGUCUGUACUGCUGUGGAAGAAAACCAAAGUAAGAUCUCUCAUGUAAUUUAUUACAGAUUUAAGAAAUUGACUCCAACUUCCACCAAAGAAGCCUUUGGAACUGCAUAAAGACCAAUAGGAUUGUGGCCUUAGUCCUUUCUAACACCUCUUAAUUUAAAUAUAUGAUUGAUAUAGCAUGAGUAAGAUUUUUUUAAAAAUCUAAAACAUCUCUCCAUUUUAUACUUUUCUAGCACAGAUAGACCUAUUUUAAAAAAAGUUCCAGUAGCUUCUGCAUAAAUGAUAAAAGCAUUAUAGCCCCAGCAGUGCUUUGCAGGUACACAUAUUAACAUUUGAAUCUUAAAAUAUAAUUUGGGGCAUGUGCUCCAUCUUCAGAGGCUUUUCUGCAGAAGAGAAUUCCUGUGUUCACAUGCAUGAGGACAGCAUUUUUUGAGUGUGAGGAAAAAAAAAUCAUGAUGGUAAAUGUUAAUUCUUUUUUUCUGAAUAAGCACUUGGCAGUUUUAAUGUUACUAUAGGAAAUGUAUUUUUACACAAUAAAAACAUGAGAGAAUCAACA
RNAcentral lists this long non-coding RNA (971 nucleotides) under Junco hyemalis (dark-eyed junco). Its description in RNAcentral is "lncRNA (ENSJHYG00000002546.1)". The record is from RNAcentral. Lineage: Eukaryota; Metazoa; Chordata; Aves; Passeriformes; Passerellidae.